AUUUAAGGUGCCUACAGAAUGUCAACUGGAAU
RNAcentral lists this small RNA (32 nucleotides) under Bombyx mori (domestic silkworm). RNAcentral's name for it is "ovarian small RNA-12717". The record is from RNAcentral. Lineage: Eukaryota; Metazoa; Arthropoda; Insecta; Lepidoptera; Bombycidae.